UGAACACAGGUGGCGAUGCGGCACGAUUU
This 29-nucleotide small RNA is filed under the name Bombyx mori (domestic silkworm). Its description in RNAcentral is "ovarian small RNA-30660". Lineage: Eukaryota; Metazoa; Arthropoda; Insecta; Lepidoptera; Bombycidae. The record is from RNAcentral.